Molecule: long non-coding RNA, 907 nt
Filed under: Homo sapiens (human)
Lineage: Eukaryota; Metazoa; Chordata; Mammalia; Primates; Hominidae
Description: long intergenic non-protein coding RNA 1091
Source: RNAcentral
AGUGGGAAGGGGGACUGGAAAGGGGAUGUAGUGGGAAGGUGGUCCUCCCCUGGAAUUUGGGUGUCAUGCCAUCAAGCUGUCCCUUUGAAGCCAAGCUGCUUCUCUCUGAUGUCCAGAUGCUGGUUCUCUUCUCUCCUUCUCUGCCACGCCGCUCUGCUGAAUUAUUGAUCAAAUUUGGAUCUCUGUGUGCUGUCCUCCAAUUUAAUACUUUCUGUGUUGCUGUUUUAUUUUCUUUCUUCUGGAACCUGGCAAAGUGCGUCAAGCGAUGAGGCUUCCUCUUUGAAGAUCACAGGUGAGAAGAUUAGGUGCUUUCUCAGAAGCCCAGCAACCUGAUGGGAGUGUGGAGUGAGCAAGACCCAAAUCGGAGCUUCAUCCCUGCAUGGUUCAUUUUGCUUAUUUGGCAAACUUGCCCUGCAGAAUCUACUCAAGCUUCCUCAGUUUCUCAAAUCAUUCUUGGGCAACAAAUGAACAAGAAAGAGGACGUCUUAUUAUCUGGUGUCUGGCUUGCUGAUUUAAUAACCUAGGAGACAGUGUUUGAAGAACACAAACUCUAAAGUCCUUCACUUAAAAAAAAAAAAAAACUUUCCCAAAUUGCUUACCAUUUGGAAAAAUUGCCUUACCUUCUUCAGUCAUCUCUGAUGUUGUCAUCCUCAGAGUAAGAAGUACGCAUUCAUAAGGAACCAUAACGUCCUUCAGGAAAUCCAGUACACCCUACAAUUUUACCUAAAACUUUGAUGUUGUUUUUUCUGAGCAUUUUACCUUCUAGGGAAAUGGAUCUCAUGCUGUUUAUCAGUUUCUGAAAGUUGUUAUUAAUCUCCCCUCAUCCCAAAAUUGAAGAACUUUGCUUAAAUCUUAGAAUCAGAACUUUGGCUCCAGUAAUAAAGACUUUUCAAUAUCUUUAUCUGCC